This 292-nucleotide unclassified non-coding RNA is filed under the name Hevea brasiliensis (rubber tree). The record is from RNAcentral. Lineage: Eukaryota; Viridiplantae; Streptophyta; Magnoliopsida; Malpighiales; Euphorbiaceae.
GUUUCCCUGAACCCGAAGUAAUCUCCAGAAGAUCCCCACUAAUGUUCUUCUUCAUCAAUCUACGACUUCUGCGAGAAGUUUCACAAAAUUCAGAACUUCUCUUAUUGGAUUUACGGGAAGCAGAAGAGGCCAAAUUCAAAUCUUCAAUCUCUACCCUAUGUGAGCCCUGUAAAGAGUGUUCAUCGGAACAAUAUUUGCUGCUGGAAGGGUGAUCCUUAUUUUUAAUAUUGACAUUUGAUUUCCUCCUUCGUUUAUCCUUGUAUUUACCCAUCUCAGGAAAUAAAUUCUCUUU